UGAUUCCCUCUCUCUCUCUCCCCCCCCCCCUUCGGUUUCUCAGCAAUCUCAUCCUUAGAUCUGCUGAACCAACCAAUCUCACCACUCUGGUUUCUCCGUCGGCUGCUCCCAUACCGGAAACAAAGCUCUUCGUAAUAGUCUCACGCUCCAUACCCACUACUCUAGUCAUCAUUUCGUCUGUAGUGAAAGCCCCAAAUGGAUCGAAAACCGGCGACUCUGAUUAGCAAUCGGACUCGGAUUCAGAGUGGAUGCUAUCGCAAUCAGAAUCGGAAUCUUUGAGUUUGGGUAUUCUCUAGCGUCAUCGGGACUUCAUUGGCGUCGAUCUGGAUGUAAUCUAUGAGGAUUGAUUCUGGGUUUUUGCAAUUUUUAAUUUCCCAGAAUUGCAGAGAUGAGGGCUUGUCAUCAGAGGCCUUGAACGGUGCGAUCUGAUGAGGCUCCGAUUCCAUCCAUUCCGCCCCGAUCCGCGUACGUCAUCAUGUUUUUCUUCGACUGGUUCUACGGCGUGCUUGCUUCCCUCGGUCUGUGGCAGAAGGAGGCCAAGGUCUUGUUCCUCGGGCUCGAUAAUGCCGGCAAGACCUUGCUUCACAUGCUCAAAGAUGAGUUUGAAAGGUUCGAUUGAUUGGACAUCUUGAUCUCAACUUCUCAAGGGCUGUUCAUUAGUCUUCGAAAACACAAGAACCUACUCUCCAGCAACUAAGGUUGUUUAUGAAUACAAAUGGCUAUAGUCUCGCAGUGGAUAUAUGGAGCUUGGGAUGUACUAUUCUUCAAAUGGCGAGUUCAAAACCCCCAUGGAGCCAAUAUGAAGGGGAGCAACUCCAUGAAAAGGAGCAGGCCAUGCAUGCAGGAUUUGGAGAUGAAAUUACAAGAAAAAUAUAGAGAGCUGCAUCCUACCAAAUUAGAUAAUGAAGCAGUUAGUUAUAUGUUUAUGAAUUUUCUCUUGGUUGCUUUAGCUGAGCAAUUUCUAAGUUUUACCCACUUUCGUAAUUUAUAUAUAUAUGAGUUCAGAAGACAAAGGAAGUUGCAGAUGAAGUUUUGUUCAUGGCAAUCUUAUCAACUUUGAGUCACCAAUUAUGAUACUGUUGAACAUCUGUAGAAGAGUUCCUGCUACAACAUAUUUGAAUUCGACUAAACUACUAUACCUUUUCCUCAAUAUUUCCUAUCCAUGUGUACGUUUCCUGUUUUCCUCCACAAAUAAACUCCUACAACUUCCAACAAAAUCAACAUCUUGCACACACACCAGUCAAUGAUCAUUUCCCUGUUCAAUACCAAACAUUAGGUUAUGUUUUCAGUGUUAUGUUCUUUCUUGGAAAAUUUGAUCUACAAUUGUAGUAAACUAUAGUAAGCUCUAACAUGCCUAAAUCAAAGUCUGAAAGAAAUGACCCUUGCUUAGAUCUAGACCAUUAGCUAUCAUGGAAUCUUCGUGCUUUAUCUCAAUGAUAUGUAGCUAUAAAUCACAUUGCCCCUUUGUUCUCAACUGGAAUAAAAAAAAAAUUGCAAAUCUGCUUUGUGUUCUGGAACCAUUCCUUUACUCUUCUUUUCUGUCUGUUAGUUUUUAUUUUGUGAUGACUUACUACUGUUAUGACUUGCAGUGAACCAGUCACAGCCAACCCCAGAGCCAACCGUGGACAGCUCCGAAGAACUAAUGUAAAACUUUUGGUUAAGAUUACAAAUGUAAUAUAUUUUUCUUAAGACCAACUAUUUUUGUAACCAACAUAAAAAACACAAUGUUGGUUAGAAUAGCAAUUUUUCAAAAAAUGUAAAUAGAUAAGCUUGGUUAGCAUACCGGGUCUUGCUAAGAAUUUCAAUUUUUGGAAUAUGUAAAUAUACUGUUCAAUUCAAGAAAAAAAAGAACCUGCGGCAUCGCGCGGGGGAAUGAUCUAGUUGAA
This is a long non-coding RNA of Rosa rugosa (rugosa rose), 1886 nucleotides long. RefSeq lists it as uncharacterized. The record is from RefSeq and is a predicted model, not a curated record. NCBI's taxonomy places the organism in Eukaryota, Viridiplantae, Streptophyta, Magnoliopsida, Rosales, Rosaceae. The transcript is spliced from 4 exons.